ACGAGGACGUGUGAGCAGGCGUGCUACAGCCGCAUGCACCAGCUGCCAGAGGAGUUGGGGUCACGGAAGAAACGAUGGUGUUUGGUGGAGCAGAGGGAAAUCCGAUCUGGUGAGGGUUCUGCUGAUUGGGGUCGAGCUGGAACGGCUGAAUCCGUAGGAGCUCGACGGGGAAGAAGGGGAGGGCGCUGGCUUGGGCGGCGUGUGGAUCAGGGGCACAGCGCAGCCACUAGGGUGCCAUGGCUGGGCGGUGAGGCGCCACUGGAGAAGCGGAGGGAGGAGCAGAGUGGGAUUGGGCCGGCCAGGGAAAUUUUU
RNAcentral lists this unclassified non-coding RNA (312 nucleotides) under Zea mays. Its description in RNAcentral is "misc RNA Zm00001eb310750". The record is from RNAcentral. Lineage: Eukaryota; Viridiplantae; Streptophyta; Magnoliopsida; Poales; Poaceae.